RNAcentral lists this ribosomal RNA (1803 nucleotides) under Triticum aestivum (bread wheat). RNAcentral describes it as "partial small subunit ribosomal RNA". The record is from RNAcentral. Lineage: Eukaryota; Viridiplantae; Streptophyta; Magnoliopsida; Poales; Poaceae.
AUGGCGGCCGCCGCCACCUCCUCCUCCCCGUCCCCGGCCACCUUCCGCGCCGCGUCCCGCCGCGUCGCCGGCCGGCCGCCCUCGCGGGUGGCCGCGUCCGCCGCGGCGACGACGUCCCCGGAGGCGGCGGCGCCCCUCAGGGCCGACCUGGCGCCCCUGGCCCCCGCGCCGCUGAUGCGGGUGGUGCCCGAGUCGCUGCAGGGCGCGAGCGGGGCGCUCGUGGGCGUGCCGGGCCGCGGGGCGGGGGCGGGGGAGGAGGGGGGACUCGACGGGCCCGGCGCCAUGGAGUACCUCACGGCCGUGCUCGCCUCCAAGGUCUACGACGUGGCCGUCGAGACCCCGCUCGAGCGCGCCGCCAAGCUCUCCGACCGCCUCGGGGUCAGCCUCCACAUCAAGCGCGAGGACCUGCAGCCGGUGUUUUCAUUCAAGUUGAGAGGUGCAUAUAAUAUGAUGGCAAAGCUCUCCCGAGAGCAGUUGAACAAUGGUGUUAUCUGCUCCUCUGCUGGAAACCAUGCUCAAGGAGUUGCUCUUUCUGCCCAGAAACUGGGCUGUGAUGCCGUUAUUGUCAUGCCUGUGACAACACCAGAAAUCAAGUGGCGAUCAGUGGAGAGAUUGGGUGCGACAGUAGUUCUGAAGGGAGACUCAUAUGAUGAAGCUCAGUCAUAUGCAAAAUUACGGUGUGAACAGGAAGGCCGCACAUUCAUACCUCCUUUUGACCAUCCCGACAUCAUCGCUGGACAAGGAACUGUUGGCAUGGAAAUUGUUCGUCAACUGCAAGGUCCAUUACAUGCAAUAUUUGUACCUGUGGGAGGUGGUGGAUUAAUUGCUGGCAUUGCUGCCUAUGUGAAACGGGUCCGCCCUGAGGUCAAAAUAAUUGGAGUAGAGCCCUCAGAUGCAAAUGCCAUGGCAUUGUCCUUGUGUCAUGGCCAGAGGGUCGUGUUAGAACAUGUUGGAGGGUUUGCUGAUGGUGUAGCUGUCAAAGUUGUUGGGGAGGAGACAUUUCGCUUGUGUCAAGAACUUGUAGAUGGCAUUGUCCUGGUCAGCAGAGAUGCUAUUUGUGCUUCAAUAAAGGAUAUGUUUGAGGAGAACAGGAAUAUCCUUGAACCUGCUGGGGCCCUUGCCUUGGCAGGGGCUGAAGCUUACUGCAAACACUAUGGUUUGAAAGGGGAAACUGUGGUUGCAAUAAGUAGUGGUGCGAAUAUGAACUUUGAUAGACUUAGAUUAGUAACUGAGCUUGCUGACGUUGGUCGAAAACGAGAGGCGGUAUUAGCUACAUUUUUGCCAGAGGAGCAGGGAAGCUUCAAAAAGUUUGCAGAACUGGUUGGCCGGAUGAAUAUUACUGAAUUCAAAUACAGAUAUGAUUCUAACGGAAAAGAAGCCCUUGUUCUUUACAGUGUUGGCAUCUAUACUGACCAUGAGCUUAAAGCAAUGGUGGAACGCAUGGAAUCAUCAGAACUUAAGACUGUGAACCUUACUGACAAUGAUCUCGCAAAAGACCACCUAAGAUACUUUAUUGGAGGCAGGUCAGAAGUAAAAGAUGAACUUGUUUACCGGUUUAUUUUCCCAGAAAGGCCAGGUGCUCUUAUGAAUUUUUUGGAUACAUUGAGCCCCCGAUGGAACAUCAGCCUUUUCCAUUACCGUGCACAGGGCGAAAGCGGAGCAAACGUAUUAGUUGGCAUACAAGUGCCACCGGAGGACGUCGGUGAAUUCAGGAGUCGUGCCGACAAUCUUGGGUAUGAAUACAUGUCUGAGAUGAACAACGAGAUCUAUCAUCUCCUUUUGCGCAGCCCCAAUAAGGUCUGA